CGGGAGCUGAGCGGUCAAGAUGUGUGACUUCACUGAGGACCAGACCGCAGAGUUCAAGGAGGGCCAGAUCCUGUACAGCCAGUGUGGGGACGUGAUGAGGGCCCUGGGCUAGAUCCCACCAACGCUGAGGUCCUCAAGGUCCUGGGGAACUCCAGGGGUGAUGAGAUGAAUGUGAAGGUGCUGGACUUUGAGCACUUCCUGCCCAUGCUCCAGACUGUGGCCAAGAACAAGGACCAGGGCACCUAUGAGGAUUAUGUUGAAGGACUUCAGGCAUUUGACAAGGAAGGGAACGGCACAGUGAUGGGUGCGGAAAUCCAGCAUGUCCUUGUCACUCUGGGCGAGACGAUGACAGAGGAAGAAGUAGAGAUGCUGGUGGCAGGGCAUGAGGACAGCAAUGGUUGUAUCAACUAUGCAGAGCUGGUCUGUAUGGUGCUGAAUGGCUGAGAACU
Molecule: RNA transcript, 449 nt
Organism: Carlito syrichta (Philippine tarsier)
Lineage: Eukaryota; Metazoa; Chordata; Mammalia; Primates; Tarsiidae
Gene name: myosin light polypeptide 6-like
Exons: 1
Source: RefSeq, a predicted model, not a curated record